UACGUAGGUGGCAAGCGUUGUCCGGAUUUACUGGGUGUAAAGGGUGCGCAGGCGGGACUGCAAGUUGGAUGUGAAACUCCGAGGCUCAACCUCAGAACUGCAUCCAAAACUGUGGUUCUUGAGUGGAGUAGAGGUAAGCGGAAUUCCGAGUGUAGCGGUGAAAUGCGUAGAUAUUCGGAGGAACACCAGUGGCGAAGGCGGCUUACUGGGCUCUAACUGACGCUGAGGCACGAAAGUGUGGGUAGCAAACAGGAUUAGAUACCCGU
RNAcentral lists this ribosomal RNA (266 nucleotides) under uncultured prokaryote. RNAcentral's name for it is "partial 16S ribosomal RNA". It matches the Rfam family "Bacterial small subunit ribosomal RNA", at positions 524 to 789 of the family's 1533-position model. The record is from RNAcentral.